Xenopus tropicalis (tropical clawed frog) is the source of this 1964-nucleotide RNA transcript. It is a transcript of the gene named chitinase domain containing 1, with no coding region annotated. NCBI's taxonomy places the organism in Eukaryota, Metazoa, Chordata, Amphibia, Anura, Pipidae. The record is from RefSeq and is marked provisional. The transcript is spliced from 13 exons.
AUGUAGCUCCACUGACAAACAGCGAAAAUGCUGCGCAUGCGCUUUUGUACCUUUUGGAAUGUGAAACUUUAUUGAGACUUAACAGUGACGUGUCCGCUGCGUCAGUGAGUCAGCUUUGAAGCCAUGAGGCUGCUCAGCACUCUGCUCUUCUUGGUGGCUGCCACUUGCCCCCUGAUCCAUGCCACGCUCUCCAAGACAGACUCCAAGAAAGCGGCUUCCAAAGCACCUGAGACCAAGACUCGUCUGUCUGACACCUUGGUACAGACCCGUGGGCUGGUUUCCACUGACGUCAAAGCUAAGGACAUUGUGCUGGAACACAGGAGUUACUGUGCCAAGAAGCUGAAGGAGAGGCACGUCUCUGCUGAUGUACUGGGAUAUGUCACGCCAUGGAACGGCCAUGGCUACGAUAUCGCCAAGACAUUUGCGGCCAAAUUUACCCUCAUUUCUCCAGUUUGGCUGCAGAUAAAGAGGAAAGGCAAAGAGGCCUAUCACAUUACUGGGCUUCAUGAUGUAGAUCAAGGAUGGAUAAAGGACAUUAGGAAGACGUCCAAGAGCACUCAGAUUGUUCCACGCAUCCUAUUUGAUGGUUGGUCUUAUCAGGACUUUGAGAGUGUGUUCAGCAGCGAAGAUGAGAUAGAAGAGCUUGCCGGUGCCAUGGUGCAGACUGCAAAGGAUGAGCGCUUUGACGGCUUCGUAGUGGAGGUUUGGAGUCAACUGGGCGGGCAGAAGCGGCAGGAGCUGGUUCACCUGCUGACACACAUCGGGGAAGCCCUGCGCUUGGCAAAGCUCCGCUUUAUCCUUGUUAUUCCUCCUGCUCUAGCUCCAGGCACUGAUCAUUUGGGCAUGUUUGGGAGGAAAGAGUUUGACCAGUUGGCGCCUGUUGUGGACAGCUUCAGCCUCAUGACAUAUGACUAUUCAAGUCCCCAAAGACCUGGCCCUAAUUCGCCCAUCACCUGGGUACAAGCAUGCAUACAGCUACUGGAUCCUGAAUCCAAAUGGAGAAAGAAAAUCCUGCUGGGGUUACACUUUUAUGGAAUGGAUUACUCUGCGCUUGGUGCAUCCGGGGAGCCCAUCCUAGGAAACAGAUACAUUGAGAUCCUGAAGGAGCACAAGCCAAAGCUUCUGUGGGACCAACAAAUAGCUGAACAUUACUUGGAAUAUAAAAACCUGUAUUCCAUGGUGUGAAGAUUAGAGUACACAGCAGGUCAGAUGAUUCUAAGCUUUUUUUUAAUUGGGGACUUUUCUGUUGAGUUUCAUCGAUAUGGUUUAACCAACAUUCCUAACAUAAUAGGAAAGAUAUUAUAGCGAGGGUCUCACUGCCUUAUGAUGAGAUUUUUUUUUAUUAUUUUUCAGAAACAAAGGUGGAAAACAUGCUGUUUUUUUCCCAACACUGAAGUCUAUACAAGUACGCCUGGAUCUUGCUGAAGAACUGGGCACCGGAAUAUCCAUCUGGGAACUGGGCCAAGGGUUGGACUAUUUCUACGACCUUCUAUGAUUCCAAACAAGCUGCAUCCACCAGGGCAGUAAUAGCCAAAAUAUGUCCGGAAACUGCAUCAUGUGACAGAAUGGACCUUUAAUUCUUUGGGGGAAGCGAUGCCAAACUAAAUUCCAGAGCAACACUGAUGUGUGUAGCAGCCUUCUCUGGCAUUCAAGGAGUUAGUAUGGGCAAGCCUUAUAAUGGCCCAGCCUUGAUUAAUGGGUAUAAUUUGAAAUAACCAUGUUUUCAGUCCAUUUUGGAUCUGUUCUACAACAAACUGGUCCCUAUGCCUGGCCAGCCAGCAGUAACCAUAGAUCGACUCUCUGACUGAUCCUCCUGUCCAUACCAAAUGCCUUAGAACCUGACUGUAACCUCAGAUCUUCCACUCUCAGCACUGGAGAACUUGAAUGAGCUCCUUUCUAAUCUGAAAUUCACUGUUUUUUUUCCAAAGGUUCAUUAAAAAUGAGAUACAUCUCUCUAAAUAUUA